AGAGGAAAAUCCGUCGACUUUAAAAAUCGUGAGGGUUCAAGUCCCUCUAU
Molecule: transfer RNA, 50 nt
Filed under: Pterygiella tenuisecta
Lineage: Eukaryota; Viridiplantae; Streptophyta; Magnoliopsida; Lamiales; Orobanchaceae
Also listed under: 8 other names
Description: partial tRNA-Leu
Source: RNAcentral